AUUGAACGCUGGCGGCAGGCCUAACACAUGCGAGUCGAGCGGAUGAAGGGAGCUUGCUCCUGGAUUCAGCGGCGGACGGGUGAGUAAUGCCUAGGAAUCUGCCUGGUAGUGGGGGAUAACGUCCGGAAACGGGCGCUAAUACCGCAUACGUCCUGAGGGAGAAAGUGGGGGAUCUUCGGACCUCACGCUAUCAGAUGAGCCUAGGUCGGAUUAGCUAGUUGGUGGGGUAAAGGCCUACCAAGGCGACGAUCCGUAACUGGUCUGAGAGGAUGAUCAGUCACACUGGAACUGAGACACGGUCCAGACUCCUACGGGAGGCAGCAGUGGGGAAUAUUGGACAAUGGGCGAAAGCCUGAUCCAGCCAUGCCGCGUGUGUGAAGAAGGUCUUCGGAUUGUAAAGCACUUUAAGUUGGGAGGAAGGGCAGUAAGUUAAUACCUUGCUGUUUUGACGUUACCAGCAGAAUAAGCACCGGCUAACUUCGUG
RNAcentral lists this ribosomal RNA (484 nucleotides) under uncultured bacterium. Its description in RNAcentral is "partial 16S ribosomal RNA". It matches the Rfam family "Bacterial small subunit ribosomal RNA", at positions 30 to 507 of the family's 1533-position model. The record is from RNAcentral.